Molecule: ribosomal RNA, 496 nt
Filed under: uncultured bacterium
Lineage: Bacteria
Description: partial 16S ribosomal RNA
Rfam family: Bacterial small subunit ribosomal RNA
Source: RNAcentral
AUGAACGCUGGCGGCGUGCCUAAUACAUGCAAGUCGAGCGAACGGACGAGAAGCUUGCUUCUCUGAUGUUAGCGGCGGACGGGUGAGUAACACGUGGAUAACCUACCUAUAAGACUGGGAUAACUUCGGGAAACCGGAGCUAAUACCGGAUAAUAUUUUGAACCGCAUGGUUCAAAAGUGAAAGACGGUCUUGCUGUCACUUAUAGAUGGAUCCGCGCUGCAUUAGCUAGUUGGUAAGGUAACGGCUUACCAAGGCAACGAUGCAUAGCCGACCUAAGAGGGUGAUCGGCCACACUGGAACUGAGACACGGUCCAGACUCCUACGGGAGGCAGCAGUAGGGAAUCUUCCGCAAUGGGCGAAAGCCUGACGGAGCAACGCCGCGUGAGUGAUGAAGGUCUUCGGAUCGUAAAACUCUGUUAUUAGGGAAGAACAUAUGUGUAAGUAACUGUGCACAUCUUGACGGUACCUAAUCAGAAAGCCACGGCUAACUACGUG